This 61-nucleotide transfer RNA is filed under the name Oscillatoria sp. SIO1A7. RNAcentral's name for it is "tRNA-OTHER". It matches the Rfam family "tRNA". From Rfam's summary of the family: Transfer RNA (tRNA) molecules are approximately 80 nucleotides in length. Their secondary structure includes four short double-helical elements and three loops (D, anti-codon, and T loops). Lineage: Bacteria; Bacillati; Cyanobacteriota; Cyanophyceae; Oscillatoriales; Oscillatoriaceae. The record is from RNAcentral.
GAGGGUGUGGCCAAGUGGUUUAAGGCGGUGGAUUUCGCGGGUUCGAUUCCCGCCGCUCUCA